ACUAUCGGGAAUUCCCUGUUGAGGUAGAAAGAUGGUUAUGUGAAGCUCACCAUCAUGCCAGCCAGGAAUAGCAAUCAGGUUGAUGUGAUACUGGAGGAAUUCAGUGUCUCUGUAGCAUCAGUAGGAAUGGUUCUCCAUGUGUGAGAUCACACUGUAGUUCUUCUUGUACCAGUUUAGUACAUAUUUGUGCAGAGGCUGAGCAAGAAGAACUUUUAGGAGGAGCAGCAUGCUUUGAAGAAAAUGAUGGAGGAAUUGCAACUAGAAACUGGGAUGGCGGCAGCAACAGGCAGUUGACAUUUUGCCAGAAAAAGGUCUCCAGUACAGCAGUUGGACUGGGCCAAAUUCUUUCAUAGCUUCAGAAGUGCUUGGCCCCUUCAUAAUAAUGUGUCCAUGACAAGGUGUGGAGGAACAGGAAGGAGGG
Molecule: long non-coding RNA, 421 nt
Organism: Anguilla anguilla (European eel)
Lineage: Eukaryota; Metazoa; Chordata; Actinopteri; Anguilliformes; Anguillidae
Exons: 3
Source: RefSeq, a predicted model, not a curated record